Molecule: long non-coding RNA, 1176 nt
Filed under: Marmota monax (woodchuck)
Lineage: Eukaryota; Metazoa; Chordata; Mammalia; Rodentia; Sciuridae
Source: RNAcentral
CAGAAACGAAACUCAAAAACAUGGUUUGUUUUUUACAUUUAUUUAUUUUACUAAAAUGUGCAUAACAUAAAAUUUACUAUUGUAACCAUUUUCAAGUGUAUAGUUCGAUGGCAUUCAAACAGGAACAUUAUUGUGGAGCACUCACCAGCAUCCAUCCACCUCCAGAACUGUUAGAUCCAGUUCAUUUCUGAUCUGCGCACAUUUCCACAGAGACCAUUGUGCUUCCCUCCAUGGGAGGGAGCAGCAUCCAUGGAAUGUUUCUGAAGGUUCCUGGAGCCUUUACUCCCUUCCCUAAGGGCAGGUGAAUGGCUAAGCAGAUUGGUGAUUUGGAAGAAGGACAAAAGUUCAGCCUUUUCUGGAUUUUCCUUUUGAUGGCAUCCUGUUUGGGGACACAUACGUGUUCUUCUCCUCCAACCAGUGGACAUACUUGGGCAGACCCUAUCCCUGCACUGGAAGGUCUGGGGAAAUUAGGACAAUGGGGACAAAGCAGUAGGAAAUUCACUUGGAUGUGGCCCUGAAUCAUUUGUCUAAGACAGAUUCCCAUUCAUCAGUCUUCCAGAAAGAGAGUUGGAUGCAAAUAAGGUACAGCACAGAGUUAAGGCGGCCAAUCCCAGUUAAUCCUGAGACUUGGACCCAGCCUCCUCAGUAGGCCAGGAGAAAAUCUGUGUUUCCCCAGGGAUGAAGGCUGUGAGAAGAGUGGAGCUGCUAAGUGGCUGCAGGGUUUCACUGCCAUGGUGAGGAAUGGACACUGCCUGCUGUUAUAAACUUGGAAGCGAUCAUGAUCCCCAGACCCAAGCCUGGAGCUGGCAGGACUCUGAACUCAAAUUUCCCCAGACAAGUGCUUGCUGUUUAUUAAUGUAGCUUUAACACUUCACAGUUCAAUGGUUCAAGUCCCUUUCCUAGAAUCUUAUGUCUGGUCCUACUGACCAUUGUUUUCUGCCCUAGAAGGUGGUGGGCAAUUGGGACCCCCACACCUGCUACUGUUCCCAUCUUGGUAUCUUCCCAAGGAGCAUUGCCCCCAAAGGGCAAAAUGUAUCCACUGGUUACUUGAAAUGUUUAUAUGACACUGUCCAAGUGAGUUCUACCAAUAAUAGAACUAAUGCUUUAAUCUUCAUAAAUCAUCUAAAUCUCUAAUGUUUUCAAAUUCAAAGGAGGAAGAGAGGACUGACUUACUAU